GUGGAAGAGGAUAAAGCACAGUACACAGAUCAUGCACUCAUCACACACACACACACUCGUGGAGUGAAGACUUUCAGAGAUGACACUUAAGGAUUCUGAGGAAAUAUGAACUUCCUACAAUGAGAAAGAAUGUUGCCAACCUAAAAGAAUAACAGAUCAUAAUUUUGAAGAUGGAGUCUCGCUCUGUCGCCCAGCCUGGAGCGCACUGGCCGGAUCUCAGCUUUGCCUCCUAAAUGUAUCUCUAGGGUGGAGAAUGAAUGAUGCAGUCCUGUAUUCCACCACCUUGCUCCACUCUUCAGCAGAUUCCUUCUUGUCAUUUAAGCUGAGCACCAUGACCCUAACAACAAGCAGGCUGGCAGGAGAGCAUAUCUAGAGAAGCAUCACAUCACAGAGCCUGUAGGCUGAGGAUAGAAGGAGCCUGCUUCUUAUUCAUCCAGUGGCAUUACAAAGCUGGUCGGAAACCCCAGACUCCUCCUUCACCUUCCCCAGCAUCCCAGGAGCUGUCUGCUCUGGAAGAUGUUUCCACCAGCCUGAUUCCAAAGCACAGUUGUCCCU
This 555-nucleotide long non-coding RNA is filed under the name Papio anubis (olive baboon). Its description in RNAcentral is "lncRNA (ENSPANG00000039540.1)". Lineage: Eukaryota; Metazoa; Chordata; Mammalia; Primates; Cercopithecidae. The record is from RNAcentral.